GGGUUGUGAGGUUAAGCGACUAAGCGUACACGGUGGAUGCCCUGGCAGUCAGAGGCGAUGAAGGACGUGCUAAUCUGCGAUAAGCGUCGGUAAGGUGAUAUGAACCGUUAUAACCGGCGAUUUCCGAAUGGGGAAACCCAGUGUGUUUCGACACACUAUCAUUAACUGAAUCCAUAGGUUAAUGAGGCGAACCGGGGGAACUGAAACAUCUAAGUACCCCGAGGAAAAGAAAUCAACCGAGAUUCCCCCAGUAGCGGCGAGCGAACGGGGAGCAGCCCAGAGCCUGAAUCAGUGUGUGUGUUAGUGGAAGCGUCUGGAAAGGCGCGCGAUACAGGGUGACAGCCCCGUACACAAAAAUGCACAUACUGUGAGCUCGAUGAGUAGGGCGGGACACGUGGUAUCCUGUCUGAAUAUGGGGGGACCAUCCUCCAAGGCUAAAUACUCCUGACUGACCGAUAGUGAACCAGUACCGUGAGGGAAAGGCGAAAAGAACCCCGGCGAGGGGAGUGAAAAAGAACCUGAAACCGUGUACGUACAAGCAGUGGGAGCACGCUUCGGCGUGUGACUGCGUACCUUUUGUAUAAUGGGUCAGCGACUUAUAUUCUGUAGCAAGGUUAACCGAAUAGGGGAGCCGAAGGGAAACCGAGUCUUAACUGGGCGUUAAGUUGCAGGGUAUAGACCCGAAACCCGGUGAUCUAGCCAUGGGCAGGUUGAAGGUUGGGUAACACUAACUGGAGGACCGAACCGACUAAUGUUGAAAAAUUAGCGGAUGACUUGUGGCUGGGGGUGAAAGGCCAAUCAAACCGGGAGAUAGCUGGUUCUCCCCGAAAGCUAUUUAGGUAGCGCCUCGUGAAUUCAUCUCCGGGGGUAGAGCACUGUUUCGGCAAGGGGGUCAUCCCGACUUACCAACCCGAUGCAAACUGCGAAUACCGGAGAAUGUUAUCACGGGAGACACACGGCGGGUGCUAACGUCCGUCGUGAAGAGGGAAACAACCCAGACCGCCAGCUAAGGUCCCAAAGUCAUGGUUAAGUGGGAAACGAUGUGGGAAGGCCCAGACAGCCAGGAUGUUGGCUUAGAAGCAGCCAUCAUUUAAAGAAAGCGUAAUAGCUCACUGGUCGAGUCGGCCUGCGCGGAAGAUGUAACGGGGCUAAACCAUGCACCGAAGCUGCGGCAGCGACACUAUGUGUUGUUGGGUAGGGGAGCGUUCUGUAAGCCUGUGAAGGUGUGCUGUGAGGCAUGCUGGAGGUAUCAGAAGUGCGAAUGCUGACAUAAGUAACGAUAAAGCGGGUGAAAAGCCCGCUCGCCGGAAGACCAAGGGUUCCUGUCCAACGUUAAUCGGGGCAGGGUGAGUCGACCCCUAAGGCGAGGCCGAAAGGCGUAGUCGAUGGGAAACAGGUUAAUAUUCCUGUACUUGGUGUUACUGCGAAGGGGGGACGGAGAAGGCUAUGUUGGCCGGGCGACGGUUGUCCCGGUUUAAGCGUGUAGGCUGGUUUUCCAGGCAAAUCCGGAAAAUCAAGGCUGAGGCGUGAUGACGAGGCACUACGGUGCUGAAGCAACAAAUGCCCUGCUUCCAGGAAAAGCCUCUAAGCAUCAGGUAACAUUAAAUCGUACCCCAAACCGACACAGGUGGUCAGGUAGAGAAUACCAAGGCGCUUGAGAGAACUCGGGUGAAGGAACUAGGCAAAAUGGUGCCGUAACUUCGGGAGAAGGCACGCUGAUAUGUAGGUGAAGUCCCUCGCGGAUGGAGCUGAAAUCAGUCGAAGAUACCAGCUGGCUGCAACUGUUUAUUAAAAACACAGCACUGUGCAAACACGAAAGUGGACGUAUACGGUGUGACGCCUGCCCGGUGCCGGAAGGUUAAUUGAUGGGGUUAGCGGUAACGCGAAGCUCUUGAUCGAAGCCCCGGUAAACGGCGGCCGUAACUAUAACGGUCCUAAGGUAGCGAAAUUCCUUGUCGGGUAAGUUCCGACCUGCACGAAUGGCGUAAUGAUGGCCAGGCUGUCUCCACCCGAGACUCAGUGAAAUUGAACUCGCUGUGAAGAUGCAGUGUACCCGCGGCAAGACGGAAAGACCCCGUGAACCUUUACUAUAGCUUGACACUGAACAUUGAGCCUUGAUGUGUAGGAUAGGUGGGAGGCUUUGAAGUGUGGACGCCAGUCUGCAUGGAGCCGACCUUGAAAUACCACCCUUUAAUGUUUGAUGUUCUAACGUUGACCCGUAAUCCGGGUUGCGGACAGUGUCUGGUGGGUAGUUUGACUGGGGCGGUCUCCUCCUAAAGAGUAACGGAGGAGCACGAAGGUUGGCUAAUCCUGGUCGGACAUCAGGAGGUUAGUGCAAUGGCAUAAGCCAGCUUGACUGCGAGCGUGACGGCGCGAGCAGGUGCGAAAGCAGGUCAUAGUGAUCCGGUGGUUCUGAAUGGAAGGGCCAUCGCUCAACGGAUAAAAGGUACUCCGGGGAUAACAGGCUGAUACCGCCCAAGAGUUCAUAUCGACGGCGGUGUUUGGCACCUCGAUGUCGGCUCAUCACAUCCUGGGGCUGAAGUAGGUCCCAAGGGUAUGGCUGUUCGCCAUUUAAAGUGGUACGCGAGCUGGGUUUAGAACGUCGUGAGACAGUUCGGUCCCUAUCUGCCGUGGGCGCUGGAGAACUGAGGGGGGCUGCUCCUAGUACGAGAGGACCGGAGUGGACGCAUCACUGGUGUUCGGGUUGUCAUGCCAAUGGCACUGCCCGGUAGCUAAAUGCGGAAGAGAUAAGUGCUGAAAGCAUCUAAGCACGAAACUUGCCCCGAGAUGAGUUCUCCCUGACUCCUUGAGAGUCCUGAAGGAACGUUGAAGACGACGACGUUGAUAGGCCGGGUGUGUAAGCGCAGCGAUGCGUUGAGCUAACC
RNAcentral lists this ribosomal RNA (2885 nucleotides) under Escherichia coli. RNAcentral describes it as "bacterial LSU rRNA". It matches the Rfam family "Bacterial large subunit ribosomal RNA". The record is from RNAcentral. Lineage: Bacteria; Pseudomonadati; Pseudomonadota; Gammaproteobacteria; Enterobacterales; Enterobacteriaceae.